CCCUUCUACGAAGAUUAAAGAUUAAUAAUAAUUGAUAGAUAGAUGGUGGCACAGAAUCGGAGGCCCCGACUGUUUACUAAAAACACAACACAGUGCAAUCAUUAAUAUGGUAGUAUACUGUGUGAAAUUUGCCCAAUGCCAUUAAUAUAAAAGCGGUCAUAGGAAACUGUGACUAAUUGAAAAUCUGGUUAAUAGCGGUCUUAACCAUGAGGAUCCUAAGGUAGCAAAAUAAAUUGGCCAUUAAAUGUGGUCCGGUAUCAAUAAUGUAACGAUGGCCUCACUGUCUCUACAACUUGCUCAGUGAAAUUGAAUUACGCGUGCAGAUGCGCGU
RNAcentral lists this ribosomal RNA (331 nucleotides) under Amanita silvicola. RNAcentral describes it as "LSU rRNA". It matches the Rfam family "Bacterial large subunit ribosomal RNA", at positions 1751 to 2066 of the family's 2925-position model. The record is from RNAcentral. Lineage: Eukaryota; Fungi; Basidiomycota; Agaricomycetes; Agaricales; Amanitaceae.